UACCAAAGAUGAUUGGAGAGA
Molecule: microRNA, 21 nt
Filed under: Euprymna scolopes
Lineage: Eukaryota; Metazoa; Mollusca; Cephalopoda; Sepiida; Sepiolidae
Also listed under: 1 other name
Description: Esc-Mir-12543_3p* (star (passenger))
Source: RNAcentral